Molecule: ribosomal RNA, 394 nt
Filed under: uncultured bacterium
Lineage: Bacteria
Description: bacterial SSU rRNA
Rfam family: Bacterial small subunit ribosomal RNA
Source: RNAcentral
AAUGAACGUUGGCGGCGUGGAUUAGGCAUGCGAGUCGCGCGAGAAUGUAGCAAUACAGGAAAGCGGCGAAAGGGAGAGGACAACAUAGGAAUCUGCCCUGGGGACGAGGAUAGCGUCGGGAAACUGACGGUAAUACUCGAUAACAUCUACGGAUCAAAGGUGUGAUUCCGCCCUGGGAUGAGCCUAUGCCCCAUUAGCUAGUUGGCGGUGUAAUGGACCACCAAGGCAAUGAUGGGUAGCUGGUGUGAGAGCACGACCAGCCUCACUGGCACUGAGACACUGGCCAGACACCUACGGGUGGCUGCAGUCGAGAAUCUUCGGCAAUGGACGAAAGUCUGACCGAGCGACGCCGCGUGCGGGAUUAAGGCCUUCGGGUUGUAAACCGCUGUCGAGG